CCCUUAGAUGUUCUGGGCCGCACGCGCGCUACACUGACAGAGCCAACGAGUUCUUUGCCUUGGCCGGAAGGUCUGGGUAAUCUUGUUAAACUCUGUCGUGCUGGGGAUAGAGCAUUGCAAUUAUUGCUCUUCAACGAGGAAUGCCUAGUAAGCGCGUGUCAUCAGCAUGCGUUGAUUACGUCCCUGCCCUUUGUACACACCGCCCGUCGCUACUACCGAUUGAAUGGCUCAGUGAGGCCUUCGGACUGGCUCGGGGAGGUUGGCAACGACCACCCCAAGCCGGAAAGUUCGUCAAACUCGGUCAUGUAGAGGAAGUAAAAGUCGUAACA
This 329-nucleotide ribosomal RNA is filed under the name uncultured eukaryote. RNAcentral describes it as "partial 18S ribosomal RNA". It matches the Rfam family "Eukaryotic small subunit ribosomal RNA", at positions 1470 to 1796 of the family's 1831-position model. The record is from RNAcentral.